Molecule: ribosomal RNA, 131 nt
Filed under: uncultured bacterium
Lineage: Bacteria
Description: partial 16S ribosomal RNA
Rfam family: Bacterial small subunit ribosomal RNA
Source: RNAcentral
UAUUGCACAAUGGGGGAAACCCGUGAUGCAGCGACGCCGCGUGAAGGAAGAAGUAUCUCGGUAUGUAAACUUCUAUCAGCAGGGAAGAUAGUGACGGUACCUGACUAAGAAGCCCCGGCUAACUACGUGCC